GCGCCUAUGGCCUAAUGGAUAAGGCCCUUGACUUAUAAUCGAGCGAUCGUGGGUUCAUGUCCCACUGGGUGUG
This 73-nucleotide transfer RNA is filed under the name Capsicum annuum. It matches the Rfam family "tRNA". Rfam says of the family: Transfer RNA (tRNA) molecules are approximately 80 nucleotides in length. Their secondary structure includes four short double-helical elements and three loops (D, anti-codon, and T loops). The record is from Rfam by way of RNAcentral. Lineage: Eukaryota; Viridiplantae; Streptophyta; Magnoliopsida; Solanales; Solanaceae.